AUUGAACGCUGGCGGCAGGCCUAACACAUGCAAGUCGAGCGGGUGAAUCGAGCUUACUCCUGGAUUCAGCAGCGGACGGUUGAGUAAUGCCUAUGAAUCUGCCUGGUAGUGGGGGAUAACGGCGUGAAACGGGCGCUGAUACCGCGGACGUCGUGAGGUAGGAAAAGGGGGGGCUUCGGACCUCACGCGAUGAUAGUAGCCUAGGUCGGAUUAGAUAGGUGGGGGGGUAAAGGCCUACCAAGGUGACGCUCCGUAACUGGUAUCAGGGGAUGAUCACUUAGCCUGGAACUGAGAAAGGGCCGAGACUCCUAGGGGAGGACGCAGUGGAGAAUCUUGGAGGAUGGGGGAAAGCGUGAUCCUGGAAUGCCGCGUGUAUGCAGAAGGUGCCAGGAUUGUAAAGCAAUUUAAGUUGGGAGGAAGGGAAGUAAGUUAAUACGUUGCUGUUUUGACGGUACCAGCAGAAUAAGCCCCGGCUAACUUCGUG
Molecule: ribosomal RNA, 484 nt
Filed under: uncultured bacterium
Lineage: Bacteria
Description: partial 16S ribosomal RNA
Rfam family: Bacterial small subunit ribosomal RNA
Source: RNAcentral